UAAAUAGCGUCUAGCAGAAUUAAAAAAAUACCGCCACUUCCUAUUUUCUCCAGCAAGCCAAAAGAACAAUCCUAUGCGCAUAGGAGCUCCUAUGCUAAAACUACUAAUACGGAUCCUCCUUCUAGCACAUCUCUUUCUCAUGCAUUUGACAAUUAACAGACCCAAAAAGGAAAGAAACACACUCUUCACUGUUCUAACCUCACUGUAAGUCCAACUCUGAUGUGCAAAAUUAAGGUAAAAAGUCUUAAAAGGAACUCGGCAAACACGAACCCCAACUGUUUACCAAAAACAUAGCCUUUAGCCAUACAAGUAUUAAAGGUACUGCCUGCCCAGUGAAUUUUUAACGGCCGCGGUAUCCUA
This 360-nucleotide ribosomal RNA is filed under the name Anilios australis (Southern blind snake). RNAcentral describes it as "partial 16S ribosomal RNA". Lineage: Eukaryota; Metazoa; Chordata; Lepidosauria; Squamata; Typhlopidae. The record is from RNAcentral.